This 1605-nucleotide ribosomal RNA is filed under the name Triticum aestivum (bread wheat). RNAcentral describes it as "partial small subunit ribosomal RNA". Lineage: Eukaryota; Viridiplantae; Streptophyta; Magnoliopsida; Poales; Poaceae. The record is from RNAcentral.
AUGGCUGUCUCCGCGCGCAGCGCGGCCUUCGCCACGGCAGCCUCCUUGGCCGUGUACUGGCUCCUUACAUCGUUCCUCCACGCACCGCACCCCGCGCUGCUGCCGGCAGCGGCCGCCCUCGUCGCCGUCGCCAUCGCAGCGGGAGCGGGUCGGAAGCGUGGCGGCGCCGGCGCCCCUCCCGGCCCCGCGGCCGUGCCGGUGUUCGGCAACUGGCUGCAGGUGGGCAACGACCUCAACCACCGCUUCCUAGCGCGGCUGUCGGCGCGGUACGGCCCCGUGUUCCGGCUGCGGCUGGGCGUGCGUAACCUGGUGGUGGUGUCAGACCCUCAGCUGGCCACGGAGGUGCUCCACACGCAGGGCGUGGAGUUCGGCUCCCGCCCGCGGAACGUCGUGUUCGACAUCUUCACGGCCAACGGCGCCGACAUGGUCUUCACCGAGUACGGCGACCACUGGCGCCGCAUGCGCCGCGUCAUGACGCUGCCCUUCUUCACGGCGCGGGUCGUGCAGCAGUACCGCUCCAUGUGGGAGGCCGAGAUGGACGACGUGGUGUCCGACCUGCGCGGCGACUCCGCCGCCCGCGGGGCCGGCGUCGUGGUGCGCCGCCGGCUGCAGCUCAUGCUCUACAACAUCAUGUACCGCAUGAUGUUCGACGCCCGGUUCGAGUCCGUGGACGACCCAAUGUUCGUGGAGGCCACCAAGUUCAACUCGGAGCGCAGCCGCCUGGCGCAGAGCUUCGACUACAACUACGGCGACUUCAUCCCCAUCCUCAGGCCCUUCCUGCGUGGCUACCUCAACAAGUGCAGGGACCUGCAGACCAGGAGGCUGGCCUUCUUCAACGCCAACUACGUCGAGAAGAGAAGGAAGGUGAUGGACACACCAGGAGACAAAAACAAGCUCCGAUGCGCGAUCGACCACAUCCUCGCAGCAGAGAAGAGCGGCGAGAUCACGCCGGAGAACGUGAUCUACAUCGUGGAGAACAUCAACGUUGCCGCCAUCGAGACGACGCUAUGGUCCAUCGAAUGGGCGCUCGCCGAGGUGGUGAACCACCCGGAAGUGCAGCGCAAGGUCCGCGGCGAGAUCAGGGACGUGCUCGGCGACGACGAGCCCAUCACCGAGUCCAAUAUCAGCAAGCUGCCGUACCUGCAGGCCGUGAUCAAGGAGACGCUGCGGCUGCACUCCCCGAUCCCGCUCCUCGUCCCCCACAUGAACCUGGAGGAGGCCAGCCUCGGCGGCUACACCAUUCCCAAGGGCUCCAAGGUGGUGGUCAACGCCUGGUGGCUGGCCAACAACCCGGAGCUAUGGGAGAAGCCGGAGGAAUUCAGGCCGGAGAGGUUCUUGGGCGAGGAGAGCAACGUGGACACCACGGUCGGCGGCGGCAAGGUGGACUUCCGGUUCCUCCCGUUCGGCGUGGGCCGGCGAAGCUGCCCCGGCAUCAUCCUGGCGCUGCCCAUCCUGGCGCUCAUCGUGGGGAAGCUGGUGAGGAGCUUCGAGAUGGUGCCCCCGCCAGGCGUGGACAAGCUCGACGUGAGCGAGAAAGGCGGGCAGUUCAGCCUGCACAUCGCCAACCAUUCCGUCGUCGCCUUCCACCCCAUCGUCUCACCAUGA